AAAAGAAGUCCCACACUCAACAGCAACACAGCUAACAAAGGUGGAAACGAUGGCCCAGGAGGAGAGAGGAUGGGCACAGGAUUGGGAGAGUCCCUGUGUCCCCUGAGCAAAAUUUCUAAAAGUAGAUACUGUUUAAAAGGGAGGAAAUACAUUUGACAUUGUGGCUGUCAUGAGUGCAAGAGAAAGUGGUCAGUGGAUGGUGCUAGGAAGCACCAUUGUUCUCAUCCAUAACUGACUCUCACCCAGCUUAACCCCAGGACCUCUUCCUAUAAGGCUGGAACCCCACUAGACCUUUGCCUCCAAGGGCCGCCCUGAACUUUCCUUUUCCUCCUUUUUGGAAGAGAAACUCGGAAAUGCAUGCGUUUUCAUUCGGAGCUUGCUAACCAUCCCUCAGUGCUCUCACAUUUGGGUGCUGAUUUGCGUCUCUGCACUUAGCAUCACGCAAAAUGUAGAAAUGACCACUUUUUCCUGAUGCCCAAGAAAAACUGGCUGAGAUGCAGGAGUAUCCCCAAACAGGAACUUGUGCCUGAUCAAUGUGAGCAGUGUGAAUUUGGUCCUCCCGCUCCGGAUGAGCUCAGCUUCACUCCAGGGUCCUAUGAGAAGUGAGGGCUGGAAAAUCUCUGUGUGAGAAACAGUAUCACUUGAGGAAGUCUUAAGGCUUCUUAGAGCAGUUUCAGGUUCGAAGCAAAAUUGAGAGAAACAUAGAGAGAUUUCCCAUAAACUCCUGCCUCUGCACACAUGCAUCCUCCCCCAUGAUCACCUUUGCCCACUAGAGUGGUACCUUUGUCAGAACUGAUGAGCCUACACGGGUACAUCUUUAUUAUACAGAGUCCAGGGUUCACACUCGGGUUCACCCUUGGGCUCAAUGUGUUUCAAAAGUGCUGCACAUUCCUUGGGUUUGACCAGUGUAUAAUGACAUGCAUCCACCACUAUCGUAUUGUACUGAGUCGUUUCUCUGCCCUAAAAAUCCUCUGUGCUCUACGUAUUCAUCCUUCUCUACCUAGUAACCCUUGGCAACCAUUGAUCUCUGUAAUGUCUCCAUAGCUUUGCCUUUUCCAAAACACCAUAUAGUUGGAAUCACACAGUAUGUCACUGACAUUUUUUGGAGCAAGGAUUUAGUGACUAUUCCUUUCUACUAGGAUAGACUGCUUCCUUGCCUACAUCUUCUGCUGUGAGACAGCUUCACAGUCAUCUCCAUUUUGCUCUUAAUGUGGGAAGAGUAUUCCCAUUUCUCACCAUCUGUCCAAGAAUACCCAGAGAUGCCUGACAACUGAAAACAGCUUAUGUUUAAUAGCUUGAUAGGCUACGAUCUGAUGGCACGACUCCCUAAGGAGGAUCUGAUCAGAUCGCUCAUAUGAAAAUACAUUCAGUUCUGCUAUUCACUUGUUUUGAAAAUGCAAAUUUGUUCCAAUGCAAUUGGUGUAUUGGAGAACAAUUCAAGCAGAAUGAGAAUUUCAUGUUUGUGUAUGCAUGAUUUCAUCCAUGAAAAACACUAGGUGAGCAGAGACAACUGCACUUAGCUGAAUCCAGCUGCCCAGGAAGGCAUAAAACAGUCACACACUCACACACACGCACACGCACAGACACCCCUCAACAUCUGCCAGCCACCUCAGUUCACUGACAAUGUUAUGAGCCACACCCAUGCACAUUUGGUGUUAACAGCUUUCUGUUUGAUUUCCUUUCUUUUCUGUCCCUCCUGAUAACUCUCCUUCUACUGCUUCAGAAUAACUCAUAAGCUAUAAUCCUUCUGAUGCCCACUUCCACAAGCAAACUUCAGAUAUUUUUCAAGGUACAGUGCCAUAUUUAUUGUAGUAUUUAUGUAUUUCUUAACCAUUUAACAAGUGUAAAGCUGUGCUACAGUGUUUAUUAGGUUCCUUCUUUUUUAAUGUGUCAGCUGACAACGUUUCUAGGUGUUGUGCCCAGGACCCCAUAAACCUAGUAGUUUGUUGUUGUGUUUCUUUAUUUUUUUAAUUAAUUAAUUAAUUUAUUUUUGAGACAGAGUCUUGUUCUGUCGCCCGGCUGGACUGCAGUGGCGCGAUCUCGGCUCACUGCAACCUCUGGCUCCUGAGUUCAAGCUAUUCUCCUGCCUCAGCCUCCCGAGUAGCUGGGACUACAGGUGCAUGCCACCAUGCCCUGCUAAUUUUUUUGUAUUUUUAGUAGAGAUGGAGUUUUACCAUGUUGGCCAGGAUGGUCUCUAUCUCUUGACCUUGUGAUCCGCCCACCUUGGCAUCCUAAAGUGCUGGGAUUACAGGCAUGAGCCACGACACCCAGCCAAACCCAGUAGUUUUUUAUUACACAAUUCUGUAGAUUGCAGCGAUUUUUAGGAACACAUGUGGCACUCCAGCAGCAGAAAUGACUGUGUAUGACAGGAUGCAAAAAUGGAAUUCCUUUUCUCUAGGAUUCCACUGAGAGUCUAAGAUCAUUUAUGUGUCAACUUCCUCAUUUGCAAAGGAGUUAGAAAAAGAAUCACUUUUUUAUUUACUCUUGCAUGGGCAAGUACUAAAGUUGAAGAUGGAAAUUUAUUUGGAAAUUGGAGGUGCUAAAGCAAAAUAUCCAGGAGGCCAUUAGCCUGGGGUUGGUUCUGUACCUGGAACACUUACACAGGCAAACCAAAGUUCAACUUGGAAGCAUUUCUUGAAACUGAUUAUUAUUAUUUUUUUGGGGGGGGGUUGGGAGUGGUGGGGGGGAGACAACAACCAAUAAUCAGCCAAUCAGAAACAGCCAACUAGCAACCAGUCACAACCAACUAGCAACCAAUCAGUGAACUAGCAACCAUUCACAAACAACCAACUAGCAACCAAUCACAAACAGCCAACUAGCAACCAAUCACAAACAGCUAAGUAACAACCAGACACCAGCAGCCAACUAAUGAUUAAUUAUAAAAAGCCAACCAGCAACCAAUCACGAGUAGCAAACCAGUAAGCGGUCACUAACAAUCAACUAGUAGUCAAUCACAAACGGCCAACUGGGAACCAAUCUCAAACACCCAGCCACAAACAGCUAAUUAGCAACCAAUCACAGGCAGCCAACUAGUACUCUAUCACAAGCAGCCAACUAGCAACUGGUCACACACAGCCAACUAGCUGUUAGUUAUGUAAGUAGGGACUUUUCACAAGAUCAUACUCAAAUGAGGCCUGGCUGGAGUCAGUUGAGUAAUUCCUUUGUUUUCAUGGUCAGCCUGCAAAAGCUUGCUGUUCAGUCUGCUGGAGCAGAGCUCUCUGCAUCUCUUCUGUGUCUGAGUGCUGCCCGAUUGCUGAAUGCCUUAAUGCUCAAACUCUGUAAAAUUUAUUUUGUCUAAACUUUUUCCUUUCAUGGAAACUUUCUUUGGAAAGAGUAACUUGAGCACCUGGGUCCCUAAAUCUCCCUUCUCUGGGAGAAGGAUGGGUGUACUGUCCCCUCACAUCAUGCCUGGUAAGAGGAGCUCCAGGCCCCUGCUACAGCUGACUGUGCGUCCAUGGAGCUUGUGGUUACACAGUGGAGCAGUGCCUGCCUCACAGCUGAGAAGAGCCAACAACCCGGCUCCAGUGAUCUGAAAUACAUGACCAACACUAAAUUUUGUGUAUUUGCCACAACUGCUUGAAAGAAUCAUUUAGAAUGGUGUCACAGGUCCUGAGAAUAGAGAUGAUGACUGAAGAGGGUUGUGGACAAGAUGUAAGGACAUAAGUAGAGGGCAGAGAGGACACAAGAUGCCACGCUCCUGGCUGUGAAGAUAGGGUAAGGGACCACAAGCCAAGAAAUGCAGGCAGCCUCUAGCGGCCGGAAAAGGCAUGGAAACAGCUCCUUCGCUUAUCUUCCAGAAGGAAUGCAGGACUGCCUACACCUAAUCUUAAUCGAGUCAAAAUAAUGUCAGACUUCUGAGACCUCCAGAACUGCGAGAUAAUAAAUUUGUGUUGUUUUAAAACCACAGAAGGCGUGGUGAUUUGUUAGCCCAGCUAUAGAACACUUAACACGAAUCAAGGGUGGAAGCAGAGGAGAAGGGGAAGAAGGGGGAAAGACCUUCAAUUCGUCUUGGAAAGUAAGGCUCACAGUCAACUGCACACUGAGUACAAAUUUACCUCCAGGGACUGAGGCCAACCUAGCUCAGGACCAGGGCAAAAGCACCUUGAAGUGCUGAGACCAGUCUCAUCAUAUCACCACCAAUAGCACAGGGAGGCUCAAUUCCAGCAGACACACCCUGUGACUCCAUUGAUGACACAGUCUGUCUGCAAUUGGCAAACUCUUCUUUGUCUGUGAGUAAAAUGAUGUUGUUUACAAGCAAAGUUGAAAGCAUGAAAGAUUUUCGAUAAACUCCUCAGGGCUCAUUACAAUUGGAAUCAAUUUUAUGCACUCUGGUUUGGGUAGCAUCCUUCUAUGAUUAGAGGGUGGAUGCCAAGCAGCCUAUCGUGUUAAAAAUAGGAAAAAGACUAUAGGAUUGUCUAAGCAGAGUGGAAAAACAGGCUGAAAGAGUUCAGUGGGUUUGUGUAACUUUGUCUUGUAACAAAGUCAGCAAGUGAAAAGCUAGGGAAGGUUUUUUCCUCCUCUUCUGCCUCAAUUUUCUUUUUUUUUCUGCCUGAAUUUGAAUAUAGAUUUCAUCUAUUUAAACAGAAAUACAGUCUAUCCUCUUUGUAUACUGAUCUCUUGUAUUCCCCGCUUCUUCACUUUUGUUUCUUCCUCAUUACUUACAAGCAGGAUGGAAGUCAGGUAGAGCCGACUGCAUUCCAAGUCCUUCACUUUCUCUUCGGGUAGCUGGGCCCUGGGUCUGGCAUCUUGUGAAUGUAAAAUGAAGGUUGCCUUUUGUCUGGUCCUUCUUUCGUAUAACAGAUCAUAGUGAUUGGCACUCGUCACACACACAUUUUUAUUCCAGAGUAUAGUCUCAGAAAAUCCUGCUGAAGGUUCAAGCCAAGAAGACACUUCUAUGCCAAUUAAUCCUAAAACCACCCUUGCAUAAUUAUAAAUAAUGAGAGAACUCUAACAUGACCAACUCCAUCUUGCUUUUAACCUUAACUGCUCACUUGUUUUUGUUUUGCUUAUUAUAGUAGAGAGACCAAUAAAACUAUGAGAGGAAUGUAGUCAUAGUUAAACUUGGAGUCAAGGGAAACUGAUCCCCUUUCUUGUCUGGAGAUUAAAGGUACAUUCAUAAAACAAAAUUAGAAUUAUGGUAGGGGAUUAAACUUCGCUAAGGACUAGGAAGCAUUAAUGACUUGCCAUUGCUUAGUGAUUAUUAAACUCUUUCUUUGCUGCAAUAACUGUUGUUCUUGGGCCAGGCAGGGAUGGCUCAUGCCUGGAAUCUCAGCACUGUAGCAGGCCAAGGCAGGAGGAUCACUUGAGCCCAGGAAUUGGGGACUAGCCUGGGCAACAUAGUGAGACCUCGUUUCUACAAAAAAAUUUUAAAAAUUAGCUGGAGGCUGGGCGCAAUGGCUCACACCUGUAAUCCUAGCACUCUGGGAGGCCGAUGCAGGUGGAUCACCUGAGGUCAGGACUUUGAGGCCAGCCUGGCCAACAUGGUGAAACCCUGUCUCUACUAAAAAUACAAAAAAAAAAAUGGCCGGGUGCAGUGGCUCAUGCCUGUAAUCCCAGCACUUUGGGAAGCUUAGGCAGGCACAUCAUGAGGUCAAGAGAUCGAGACCAUCCUGGCCAACAUGGUGAAGCCCCGUCUCUACUAAAACUACAAAAAUUAGCUGGGCACAGUGGCCCCUGCCUGUAGUCCCAGCUACUCGGCAGGCUGAGGCAGGAGAAUCGCUUGAACCCAGGAAGCGGAGGUUGCAGUGAGCCAAGAUCGCACCACUGCACUGCAGCCUGGUGACAGAGUGAGACUCCAUCUCAAAACAAAACAAAACAACAACAACAAGAAGAAAAAUUAGCUGGGUGUGGUGGGGUAUGCCUGUAAUCUCAGCUACUUGGGAGGCUGAGGCAGGAGAAUUGCUUGAGCCGGGAGGCGAAGGUUAUAGUGAGCCAAGAUCAUGCCACUGCACUCCAGCCUGGGCGACAUGCAACAAGACUCUGUCUCAAAAAAAAAAUAAUAAUAAUAAUUAGCUGGGUAUGGUGGUGAAUGCCUGUAGUCCCAGAUAUUUGGGAGGCUGAGGUGGAGGUUGAGGCUGCAGUGAGCCAUGAUUUCACCACUGUACUCCAGCCUGGAUGACAGAGUGAGACUCUGUCUCAAAAAUAAAUAAAUAAAUUAAAUACCUUCCAUCUCACUGGCUUUUUCAGGGAGGCAGUGGAAGAACCUGUCAGUCUGUGACAAUCCCUCAAUAUUGGCUAUCAGUGACUUUUAUGGUCUGGAUGGUCAAAGAGAAAAAUGGCGCCAGAAAAACCCAGCAUGUCCCUAUUUAAUUAGGAAAAGGGGAAUUAGUAUUACUGUAUGCCUACUAUUUGCUAGGUACUGAUUAAAGUGUUGGUUACUUAGAAAUAUUUCAUUUCUUUAUCAUGUUCAUAGUUCUACCAAAGCGUAGAUUUAAUUGUCAAAUAGCACAAUCUCUAGCAACUGGUAUAACUUACGCUAUUAAUAAAUGCUAGGUCUUUGGAAUACGAGUGGAGUUUGAAACUUUAUUUUGCUUUUUAGAAAGUGGUGGAUUUCAGACAAUUUUCUUAACCUUUUCAAGCCUCAUUUAUUCAACUGACCUUUUACCCAGUGUCUGCAAUGGAUCUACCACUGGCCUGUCCUGAAGGGGUAACAGAUAAAAGACAAAGUCCCUUCUUUGCAGAGAAAACCAUUAGCCUUUAGUUUCUUCCAUGUCAAAAUUUGAAUAGUACCCAUUUUGCAGUGUGUUGUGAGAAUCAAAUGAGAUAAGUUUUUAUGAGAGUGCUUCACAUUUAGAAGAAACUCAAUAAAUGUUAAUUUCUUGCUUUCCCUAGCGGCAGCCUAGGGGGAAGGAAAUUUUUCAGCUGGGAAACUUUUAUUUGUGCUUCUCAAAUAAUAUUAACACUGCCUUGGGGGUGAGUGGUUCUGAAUAACAAGCAUGGGAACAAUAUUAGAAUGAAGGUACCUCCAUGGAUUGGUGAAAAUUGUAGUGAGAUUUUGGUCAAUAUUCAACAUUUGACAGUAACCUUAUUAUAAGAAUAAUUCUAUUAUAUUCAGUUUUAUUGUUUGGUGAGAUGUGCUGAAGCGUAACCUCACUGAUGGAGACAAAGUGAGAGAUAGUAGUGAUUUGGAGUAGAAUUAACAGAAGUGUGUAUUACUGAUCCUGGGCUUAUUAAAUGGUCUGUUACAGCCAAUGCAGUAACUCCUGUAAGAUGUGCUGAUAAGAGUAGAGUAAUACUGUGACCAUUCAUUCGCAAAUGGUAGGACCAAAGUUCUCUCUUUUUUUUUAAAUGGAGUUUCGCUCAUGUUGCUGAGGCUGGAGUGCAGUGGCGCGAUCUCAGCUCACUGCAACCUCCGCCUCCUGGGUUCAAGCGAUUCUGCUGCCUCAGCCUCUCUAGUAGCUGGGACUACAGGCAAGUGCAACCACGCCUGGUUAGUUUUUGUAUUUUUAGUAGAGACGGGGUUUCACCAUGUUGGUUAGGCUUGUCUCGAACUCCUGACCUCAAGUGAUCCACCUGCCUCGGCCUCCCAAAGUUCUGGGAUUACAGGUGUGAGCCACCGGGCCUGCCCUGGACCAACGUUCUUCUAACAGGACGAAUAUGCUUAACUCGUAUGAAACUGGACUGCAGUCUGCUCUAAAGGUGUGCCUCCUUCUUUGGCGAAUUUAUAAGGAAGUCCCCACAGCCCUCAGGACAGAGACUGAACAAGGGAUGUGACUGCUGUGAAUACUCCCAGCCAAAGGCCAUCAGGACACCCGGAGUUGAACAAGCGGGAUCACGAGUCCACCGGGAGAAAUGAACAACUCCAGACGCGUGGUCUUAAGAGCUGUACCACUCACCAUGAAGCUCUGUGGCUUCACUUCUGAAUCCAGGGAGGCCACGAACCCACCAGAAGGUAGAAACUGUGAACCCGUUCAAACAUCAGAAGGAACGAACUGGACACGUUGUUCUUAAGAAGUGUAACACUGAUCGUGAGGGUCUGUGGUUUCAUUCAUGAAGUCAGUGAGACGAGGAACCCACCAAUUACAGACACAGUAUGAUGAACCAAAAACCCCAACACUUCCCUGCCAUAAAACAGGAAUCAAAUGAGGCCAGUAACAAAGACAGUUUGAGUCCAGGGCACUGAGUGAAGGCACUAGAUAUGCUGGGACUCAUCAUUGCUUUGGAACAGGGACAGGAUCUGGGUACGAAGUUUCUACCGCUCUUGUGGUGGGGAGUUGGGUUGGGCAUCACUUUCAUACGGCGAGAGGAAACGGUGGUGUCAUCUAUGUUAGCACUGGCUGCAGUGGAGCUUAAAAAACAUGUUGCAAGCUCUCACAUGGGUUCAAGUCUGAAUUUCCACUGCUACGUGGUCUGAAAACUGCAAGCAGGAAUUUACAUUUAAAGCACAUGGAGUCUAUAGUAUCCCCAGGUACUUCAGAGAAGCAAAUAUCAAUACUCCCUCGAGGAGUAAGUCUUCAAACAAGGCUUCCAAGCACCCCACAGGGUUAGUGGCACCAACUUUUAACUACUGUAACUAAUAAGGAGAAGCCAAGGGUACAUAUGAAGAAGUUGUUUAUGAGCAUUUGCCAACAAAAAAAGACCUGCAAAGACGUCAGAUACUGUAAGAACAGAAUACAGAAUAUAAAAUGGGUAUUCUUAAUAUGUUUCAAUGAGUAAAGGCAGAAAUAAGGUGAAGAGUCAGGAUGAAGGGAUCACCGAAGAUGAGCAGACAAAUUUGGGCAAAACUAGAAAUGUAAACUAUAAUAAUUGAAGUAAAAAGAAAACUCAAUGGAAGGGUUAAAAAAUUGCUGGAGAUGAGAGAACAAUUAGUAAACUCAGUUAUUCAAAAAUUAUACUAUUACACAAAGAGAUCAAUACAUUAAAAAUAGAAAAGUUUAAGAGACAAGUAGAAAAUCCACCGUACAUAUAAUCAGAAUUUGAGAGGCAGAUUGUUGAAAAAAAAUGCAAGGAAUAAAUUUUUUUUUUUUUUUUUUUUUUUGAGAUGGUCUCACCCUGCUGCCCAGGCUGGAGUGCAGUGGUGUGAUCUCGGCUCACUGCAAGCUGUGCCUCCCAGGUUCAAGCGGUUCUCCUGCCUCAGCCUCCUGAGUAGCUAGGAUUACAGGCACACGCCACCACGCCCAGCUAAUUUUUGUAUUUUUAGUAGAGACAGGGUUUCACCAUAUUGUCCAGGCUGGGCUCGAUCUCCUGCCUCGGCAUCCCAAAGUGCUGGGAUUACAGGCGGGAGCCACUGCACCUGGCCAAAAUAUUUCAAGAAGUAAUGACCAGUGUUUCUGGAAUGAAUGAAAGACCCAAAUCCAUCGUGUGUCUUUCAUUCCAUUUGAUUUCUCAUUUGGUUUUUCUUUUUGCAGCUGGGAAGUUUCAGGGUUAUUGGCUCAUCAUAGUACCAAAUCAUGACAGAUCCAAAGAAAGACAAAUAAAAGCCAGUCAAUAUUAGGACAUAUUAACAGUGCAACAGCAGAACAACAUAAACAAUAAGGGAUCGUGAAAGAAGAGACACUUUGCCACCGGGCGUGGUAAAUAAGCAUAUGUAAAGAUGAUGUCAACAUCUUGUAUCACCAAGUAUUACAAAUUUUUAAAAAAGGAAAUAGCACUACACACCUAUUAAAAAGGGGAGCAGGCAGGGUGUGGUGGCUCAUGCCUGUAGUCCUAGCACUUUGGGAGGCCGAGGCCGGCAGGUCACUUGAGGUCAGGAGUUUGAGACCAGCCUGCCCAACAUGGAGAAACCCCGUCUCUACUAAAAAUACAAAAGUAUUCGGGCGUGGUGGCAGGCACCUGUAAUACCAGCUACCUGAGAGGCUGAGUCAGGAGAAUCGCUUGAACCCGGGAGGCGGAGGUUGUGGUGAGCUGAGAUUGCGCCACUGCACUGCAGCCUGGGCAACAAGAGCCAAACUCCGUCUCAAAAAAAAAAAAAAAAAAAAAAAAAAAGGGUGAGCAUCCCAAACACCAAUGCUGGCAAGAAUGUGUAGCAAUAGGAACUCUGAUUCAUUGUGCUGGGAGUGGAUGUACUCAUAAAAUGGUACUGAUACCAUGGAGGGCAGUUCGGUGGUUUCCUAUAAAACUAAACAUUCUUUUACUACAUAGUCCGGCCAUUAUGCUCCUUGGUAUUUACCCAAAUGAACACAUCAAUGUUUAUAGUAGCCUUAUUUGUAAUUGCCAAAGCUUAGAAGCAACUAAGAUGUUGUUCCUUAGGUUAAAAAAGAAAAGAAACUGUGGCACCUCCAGACAAUAGGAUAUUAUUUAGUGCUAAAAAUAAAUAAGCUACCAAGUGACAACACCACAUGGAGGAAUGUUAACUGCGUAUAAAUGACAGAAACAAAAACCAAUCCGAAAAGGUGAUGCACUGCAUGAUUCCAGUCAUGUGAUGCUUCGGAAAAGGCAAAACUAUGGAAAUGGUAAAAAGGUCAGUGGUUGCCAGAGGUUAAGGAUAAAGAGAGAUGAUUAGGUGGAGAACAGAAGAUUUUUAGGAUAGUGAAACCAUUUUGUCUGAUAAUAUAAUGGUGGAUAUGUGUGAUUAUACAUUUGUUAAAAACCAUGGAAUGUACAACCCUAAGAGAGAACCCUAAUAUAAACCAUGAAAUUUGAAUAAUAAUGAUGUAUCAUUGCAGGUCUGUAGAUUUGUCAAAUAUGCACCACUGUCGUGGGGGAUGGUAGUAGUGGGGUAGGUUGUGUGUGUAUAGGGACCAAGGGUAUAUGAGAACUCUCUGUACUUUCUGAUCAAUUUUGAUGUGAAGCUAAAACUGGUCUAAAAAAUAAAGUUUAUUAAAUUACAAAAAUCUAACAGGGUUAAAAGGAAAUGGGAAAAUUAAUUUAAAAAUGUAUAUGGGCCAGGCGCGGUGGCUCAUGCCUGUAAUCCUAGCACUUUGGGAAGCUGACACGGGCGAAUCAUGAGGUGAAGAGAUCGAGAUCAUCCUGGCCAACAUGGUGAAACCCUGUCUCUACUAAAAAUGCAAAAAUUAGCCAGGCGUGCUGCAAGGUGCCUGUAGUCCCAGCUACUCGGGAGGCUGAGGCAGGAGAAUCACUUGAACCCGGGAGGCAGAGGUUGCAGUGAGCCGAGAUCGCACCACCGCACUCCAGCCUGGGUGACAGAAUGAAACUCCAUCUUAGAAAAAAAAAAGAAAGAAAAAACAUGUAUAUGGCAGCAUAAAUAUCAAGAACAAAUGGGAGAAACUCUUCAAGUGGAAUGAGGUGGGAACAUAUCCUUCCUCAGACAUCAAGACGCAUUAUAAUCCAUAGACUAUAAGACAGUGGCACUAGCACAACAAUAGACCAACAGAGAAAAGAAAUUUGUUAGAUUGUCUGGAAAUAACACAGUGAAAGUGUGGAGGUUUGAUAAGUGGUGAAAUUAUCCUGUAUGUGAAUGGGGAUAAUAUGCGCUAGUCCAUUGAAUUAAUCGUCUCUCUCUGACUGUUUCUCCCUCUCACUUUCUUUCUGUGUGUGUGUGUGUGUGCAUACAUGAGUGUGUGUGCAUGCGUGUUUGAUGGGGACAGGAGGCAGGGAAACGCUGGGUAGAAGAAGGUGGUUCUUCAGCAAAGGCCCCACCUUCAAGCCUGGAAACUGUGGCUCUAAAUGAAAACAGUUAUCUCUGUUUUCCCGUCCAAUUGUUGCUUUAUUCAAAACCACCCUGGCCCGCCACCCUCAUGCCCCUCCCCCCCUGACCCCGCAUCCUGUACUCAUAAAACCCCCAAACCCCAGGUUCAAUGAGCAGGAGGGCGGCACAGCAGCAGAGCAGCAGAGCGGCAGAGUGGAGAAGGAGAGAAGAGAAGUGUCUGAACAUGGGGAGGAGUUUGGCUGGGGGCGGUCAUAGAAGAGAUUCGCCAUGAGAUGGCUGAACUCCAGGGGACAAUCAUCUUCCCACUCCAUCCCCUCUCCACCUCCCCAUCCCACUGAGAGCCACCUCCACCUCUCAAUGAAAUCCCUGCAUUCACCAUUCUUCAAGUCCAUGUGACCUGAUUCUUCCUGGAAGCUAGACAGGAAUUCAGGAUUCCUGUACCAAUUCCAUUGGGUACAGGAACCAAAAAGACUGUCACGUUGACUCUUCACUGAGCUGUUAAACACUUUAGCUUUCCCUGGGUGGCAGGGCUAAAGGACAUUGUAAUACCCCUAGCCACUGCUGGGGGGUCAGAGCCCAAAUGUGCUCACCCCAGCUCACCUGUGUGCUCUCCCUCCCUUAAAGGGUUUGAACACGCACCAGCCGAAUAAAUGAGCCACAUGCCAUCACAUGUUCCGCGAGGGGUCAGAGAACUCUCCUGUUUCAUGUUGACGGAUGUUGUAAGCAUUAAUGGUUUUAAAUGCAAAAGGAAAACUCGGAAAUGUUAAAGAUAGUAUAGAAUAAUUUCAUUAUGGCCUUUGAAUAGGAAAGUAUUUCUGAAACAGCAUGUAAGAUGUACAAGCCACAAAAACAUCUUGAUAAAUUUGACUACAUUAAAAUUAAAAACUUCUUUUAAUCGAAAGAUACAAUAAAAAAAGCAUAAGUGAUACACAUGCAGGGAAAAUAAUUUUUUUCUUUUUUUUUUUGUGAUGGAGUUUUGCUCUUGUUGCCCACGCUGGAGUACAAUGGUACGAUCUCGGCUCACCGCAACCUCCCUGUCCUGGGUUCAAGCGAUUCUCCAGCCUCAGCCUCCCGAGUAACGGGGAUUACAGGCAUGCGCCACCACACCCAGCUAAUUUUGUAUUUUUAGUAGAGACAAGGUUUCUCCAUGUUGGUCAGGCUGGUCUCGAACUCCUGACCUCAGGUGAUCCACCCGCCUUGGCCUCCCAAAGUGCUGGGAUUACAGGCAAAAGCUACCAUGCCUGGCCUAAUUUUAAAAAAUACAUGAAAUUAAUGAAGCAUUAUGAUCCAGAAUAUAUAAAAGUAUAAUAUAUCAGUAAAUCAACAAAAAUGGGGAAAAGAUGUGAAAAAAUUUCACAGUAGAGGAAAUAACCUGUUAGAAAAAUCUGUAAAAGGUACUAACAAGUACUUUACAGAACAGGAAUAUAAGUGGCCAGUAGAUAUAUAUAAAAAGAUUCUCAAUUCGUAAUAAUCAGUAAAAGGCAAUUUAAUAUUUAAUGAAAUCUCAUGAUACACCUAAUACAUAGGUAAAUAUGACCAGGAUAUAGAACAAGGAUGUCCCUGGGGCAGUUGCUAAGAGUGUGAAUUGGUGCAAUGACUUUCAAAAUCAAUUUGGCAUUAUCUUGUAAACUGAAUGUGAGUAUGCCCAAUUCUAGUAUGUGCUGUAGGAAAAAUGUCUACCCCUUUGCACAAGGAAUCAUACAAAAUAAUGUUUCUAGGAGCAUUGUUAAUAAUAGCAAAAGACAAGAACAAAACCUUGCAAGUAACCAAAUGUCUAUUGGGUCUAUUUGUGGGAAAAUGGAUAAAGAAAUUGAGGUUUAUUCAUGAAUUGGACACUAUAUAAUGGUGAAAAUGAAUAAACUUGAAUUACACAUGUCAGGGUGAUCGAAACUCAGAAAGUUAAUACAUUGUGGAAGCAAGUUGUGGAAAGAUAUGCAGCAUGAUACUGUAUUAUAAAUUCAAAGCCAAGCACACUAGGCAGUGUAUUAACAGCUGUGCAACACGUAUGUGAAUGGAACUCUUGGAGAAAACCCAGGGCCAGGGAUGAAGUAACAGAAGCGAACAGGAGCUUCAGAGAUAACAGUGACGUUCCAUGUCUUAGUGUGGGUGAAGGGGUCAAUGGUGUUUGUUUCAUGAAAAUCUAUCUCUAUCUGCUAUCUGUCUGUCUGUCUGUCUAUCUAUCUAUCUCUCUAUCUAUCUAUCUUCUAUCUAAUCUUAUCUAUCCAUCCUAUCUACAGAUGUAUAUGUUUGUGUGUAUAUAAAUAUACAUCUGUCACAAACAUUCUCUUAUGUGUAUCAAAUAUUUUCAUAAUAAAAACAUUUACAAAAUCUCCUACUCUUUCUAGUCCUGUUAUUCCAUAGUUUCCCCUUCUGUGUCUUGUUUUGUAAACUUAAUGUGUGGGCCAGGUGCAGUGGCUCACGCCUAUAUUCCC
Molecule: long non-coding RNA, 13980 nt
Filed under: Homo sapiens (human)
Lineage: Eukaryota; Metazoa; Chordata; Mammalia; Primates; Hominidae
Description: HSALNT0082471
Source: RNAcentral